UAACAUUAAAUAAAAUUAUUUCUUUACACAAAAACGAAAUGGUCCAUUUAAUGCAAAAAGCAAUAUGUUGGGUUCCACUCAGUUGCAAAAUCAAUGCAAGAAUCAAGUGAUAGUGCAAUUAGAGGCUGUGGAUUGGAGGAGUAAACACAAGAAAAUUAGUGCAACCAAAAAGUUGACAUCUUUUUGCUUUAUGACUUAAAUCCAAGAUUUGGAGCUACACUUUUUGGCCUAAUAACAAGUCUUCUUCAAUUCUGGAAGCCACCAGUGCGCAGACAGAUUGCUACUCUCUAUUUUGUUCUCUUUUUAGCUUGGCCGCCAUUCAUGAAUCUUAGCCAUUCCUCU
This 342-nucleotide long non-coding RNA is filed under the name Manihot esculenta (cassava). RNAcentral describes it as "long non-coding RNA (MESC_LNC008963)". Lineage: Eukaryota; Viridiplantae; Streptophyta; Magnoliopsida; Malpighiales; Euphorbiaceae. The record is from RNAcentral.